GGGGAGUACGGCCGCAAGGUUAAAACUCAAAUGAAUUGACGGGGGCCCGCACAAGCGGUGGAGCAUGUGGUUUAAUUCGAUGCAACGCGAAGAACCUUACCUGGUCUUGACAUAUCUAGAAUCCUGCAGAGAUGCGGGAGUGCCUUCGGGAAUUAGAAUACAGGUGCUGCAUGGCUGUCGUCAGCUCGUGUCGUGAGAUGUUGGGUUAAGUCCCGCAACGAGCGCAACCCUUGUCCUUAGUUACCAGCGGGUUAAGCCGGGAACUCUAAGGAUACUGCCAGUGACAAACUGGAGGAAGGCGGGGACGACGUCAAGUCAUCAUGGCCCUUACGACCAGGGCUACACACGUGCUACAAUGGUAGGUACAGAGGGCAGCUACACAGCGAUGUGAUGCGAAUCUCAAAAAGCCUAUCGUAGUCCAGAUUGGAGUCUGCAACUCGACUCCAUGAAGUAGGAAUCGCUAGUAAUCGCGGAUCAGAAUGCCGCG
Molecule: ribosomal RNA, 487 nt
Filed under: Psychrobacter sp.
Lineage: Bacteria; Pseudomonadati; Pseudomonadota; Gammaproteobacteria; Moraxellales; Moraxellaceae
Description: bacterial SSU rRNA
Rfam family: Bacterial small subunit ribosomal RNA
Source: RNAcentral